This 844-nucleotide ribosomal RNA is filed under the name uncultured Gammaproteobacteria bacterium. RNAcentral's name for it is "bacterial SSU rRNA". It matches the Rfam family "Bacterial small subunit ribosomal RNA", at positions 33 to 873 of the family's 1533-position model. Lineage: Bacteria; Pseudomonadati; Pseudomonadota; Gammaproteobacteria. The record is from RNAcentral.
ACGCUGGCGGUAGGCUUAACACAUGCAAGUCGAGCGAGAAAGUAUCUUCGGAUAUGAGUAGAGCGGCGGACGGGUGAGUAACGCGUAGGAAUCUACCUAGUAGAAGGGGAUAGCCCGGGGAAACUCGGAUUAAUACCGUAUACCUCCUAAGGGAGAAAGAGGGCCUCUCUUGAUGCUCUCGCUAUUAGAUGAGCCUGCGUAAGAUUAGCUUGUUGGUAAGGUAAUGGCUUACCAAGGCUACGAUCUUUAGCUGGUCUGAGAGGACGAUCAGCCACAUUGGGACUGAGACACGGCCCAGACUCCUACGGGAGGCAGCAGUGGGGAAUAUUGGACAAUGGGCGCAAGCCUGAUCCAGCCAUACCGCGUGUGUGAAGAAGGCCUUCGGGUUGUAAAGCACUUUAAGCAGGGAGAAAAAGUUAUAAGUUAAUACCUUGUAACCGUGAUGUUACCUGCAGAAUAAGCACCGGCUAAUUCCGUGCCAGCAGCCGCGGUAAUACGGAAGGUGCAAGCGUUAAUCGGAAUUACUGGGCGUAAAGCGCGCGUAGGUGGUUUGUUAAGUUGGAUGUGAAAGCCCUGGGCUCAACCUAGGAACUGCAUCCAAAACUAACUCACUAGAGUACGAUAGAGGGAGGUAGAAUUCAUAGUGUAGCGGUGGAAUGCGUAGAUAUUAUGAAGAAUACCAGUGGCGAAGGCGGCCUCCUGGAUCUGUACUGACACUGAGGUGCGAAAGCGUGGGUAGCGAACAGGAUUAGAUACCCUGGUAGUCCACGCCGUAAACGAUGACAACUAGCUGUUGGGAGACAAUGUCUUUCAGUGGCGCAGCUAACGUUUUAAGUUGUCCGCC